GCAAGUCACAACCCCACCCCAUCAUCAGCCUCGAGUUCAAACUUUGUUCUGUAGAAGGAUACAGAUACCAGAGUCGCACCAAAAGGCCUGAGUAGAAAAGAUGCAGAAGGCGGAGGAAACCGCUUUAAAUCCAUCAAAGGUAGCAAAAGAGACGAGAGAUGCCGAAGCUCAAACUCUACCUAAACCCAAGAGCAAACACAGGCGUAGAAACAUUUGUCUUGGGGUAACAGCGGCCGUCAUCGUCGUUUUCGUUCUAGUGGUGGUGAUCUUAGCUUUUACAGUGUUCAAAGCCAAAGAUCCUUCCACCACCAUCGACUCAAUCACUUUAGAUGGCCUGCGUUUCUCCUUAGACCCUUCCAUGAUGGGCGUCAAUCUGAAUAUGACCUUGGACGUGGAUCUCACCAUCACCAACCCAAACAAGGUGGGCUUCAAGUACAAAAACGGUUCUGCUUUGAUGUAUUACAAAAACGAACUUUUUGGGGAAGUUCCAAUUGCCGCCGGCAAGAUUAGCUCCGACGAUACCAAGCCCAUGAAUGUAACCGUCACGGUGAUGGCGGAUCGCUUGCUCAACAAUCCCCAGCUCUAUACAGAUGUUUCGUCGGGGGUCUUGAUUAUGAACGCAGUGAUCAAGAUUUCUGGUAAAGUUUUGAUUUUUAAUAUAUUUAAAGUGAGCGCGGACACCACUACAACCUGCGACGUCAGUGUCUUUCUUUCCAAUUCCACGAUUGGAGAACUGGACUGCAAGUAUAAGGCGAAGCUGUA
RNAcentral lists this unclassified non-coding RNA (762 nucleotides) under Hevea brasiliensis (rubber tree). Lineage: Eukaryota; Viridiplantae; Streptophyta; Magnoliopsida; Malpighiales; Euphorbiaceae. The record is from RNAcentral.